RNAcentral lists this long non-coding RNA (688 nucleotides) under Ananas comosus (pineapple). Its description in RNAcentral is "long non-coding RNA (ACOM_LNC011176)". The record is from RNAcentral. Lineage: Eukaryota; Viridiplantae; Streptophyta; Magnoliopsida; Poales; Bromeliaceae.
UGAAGAUUUUUUUUUUAGGUUUAUAGGAGACGAAAGAAGGAUAGAAAAGAUUCAGAAAGAGGACCUGUGUUGUAACUACUCAGUUGUAGAAAAGAAGCCAGUGUAAUUUUCUCUUAUUUAAUGAAUUUUAUUUUAUCCGCAUAUUUUUUAUUUUGAUUUUUUUUUUUUUUGUAUUUAUAUCAGUUUUUGCUGAGGAGACGAAUUUUUGGUAAAAACCCGAUUCAACAGUUCCGUUGUAGAAUCCCAACAAUUCAACAAUAGUCAAUAUCAAAGCAGAUUGCAGAUUCAUAAAAUUCGAUAUCGGGGCGAGUACCGGAUUCCCACUAGCUUCACUCAGGAAUGAGAAUGAAGAUAUAUACACGUACUUACGCGCACAUAAUAUGGUAAGGGUGAGUUGUGGAUUUAGUUUGAAACAUAGUUAGUUAAUUUGGAUUCAGCAAAAAUUCGAUACGGGUAUAAUUCGGAUAAAAUUCAUCUUUUAAUUUUUAAAUUUGUUGAUAAAUACGGCUAAAAAAGGGGUUCGGUAAUUAUUAGGAUACGUGAUUUAUACGGAUAUUAUACGUUCACCAAUUAAAAAUUCGAAAUCAAAAAUUCAGCUAUAUAAUAAAUAUAUAUAAUAAUUAAUAUACUGUAUAUAUUAUUAUUAUAAUUUUUAUAUAUAGAUUAAAUAUAUUCAAAUAUUAAUAAU